RNAcentral lists this ribosomal RNA (1431 nucleotides) under uncultured bacterium. RNAcentral describes it as "bacterial SSU rRNA". It matches the Rfam family "Bacterial small subunit ribosomal RNA". The record is from RNAcentral.
CUUAACACAUGCAAGUCGAGGGGCAGCAUGGUCUUAGCUUGCUAAGGCCGAUGGCGACCGGCGCACGGGUGAGUAACACGUAUCCAACCUGCCGUCUACUCUUGGACAGCCUUCUGAAAGGAAGAUUAAUACAAGAUGGCAUCAUGAGUCCGCAUGUUCACAUGAUUAAAGGUAUUCCGGUAGACGAUGGGGAUGCGUUCCAUUAGAUAGUAGGCGGGGUAACGGCCCACCUAGUCUUCGAUGGAUAGGGGUUCUGAGAGGAAGGUCCCCCACAUUGGAACUGAGACACGGUCCAAACUCCUACGGGAGGCAGCAGUGAGGAAUAUUGGUCAAUGGGCGAGAGCUUGAACCAGCCAAGUAGCGUGAAGGAUGACUGCCCUAUGGGUUGUAAACUUCUUUUAUAAAGGAAUAAAGUCGGGUAUGGAUACCCGUUUGCAUGUACUUUAUGAAUAAGGAUCGGCUAACUCCGUGCCAGCAGCCGCGGUAAUACGGAGGAUCCGAGCGUUAUCCGGAUUUAUUGGGUUUAAAGGGAGCGUAGAUGGAUGUUUAAGUCAGUUGUGAAAGUUUGCGGCUCAACCGUAAAAUUGCAGUUGAUACUGGAUAUCUUGAGUGCAGUUGAGGCAGGCGGAAUUCGUGGUGUAGCGGUGAAAUGCUUAGAUAUCACGAAGAACUCCGAUUGCGAAGGCAGCCUGCUAAGCUGCAACUGACAUUGAGGCUCGAAAGUGUGGGUAUCAAACAGGAUUAGAUACCCUGGUAGUCCACACGGUAAACGAUGAAUACUCGCUGUUUGCGAUAUACUGCAAGCGGCCAAGCGAAAGCGUUAAGUAUUCCACCUGGGGAGUACGCCGGCAACGGUGAAACUCAAAGGAAUUGACGGGGGCCCGCACAAGCGGAGGAACAUGUGGUUUAAUUCGAUGAUACGCGAGGAACCUUACCCGGGCUUAAAUUGCAGAUGAAUUACGGUGAAAGCCGUAAGCCGCAAGGCAUCUGUGAAGGUGCUGCAUGGUUGUCGUCAGCUCGUGCCGUGAGGUGUCGGCUUAAGUGCCAUAACGAGCGCAACCCUUGUUGUCAGUUACUAACAGGUUCCGCUGAGGACUCUGACAAGACUGCCAUCGUAAGAUGUGAGGAAGGUGGGGAUGACGUCAAAUCAGCACGGCCCUUACGUCCGGGGCUACACACGUGUUACAAUGGGGGGUACAGAGGGCCGCUACCACGCGAGUGGAUGCCAAUCCCCAAAACCUCUCUCAGUUCGGACUGGAGUCUGCAACCCGACUCCACGAAGCUGGAUUCGCUAGUAAUCGCGCAUCAGCCACGGCGCGGUGAAUACGUUCCCGGGCCUUGUACACACCGCCCGUCAAGCCAUGGGAGCCGGGGGUACCUGAAGUGCGUAACCGCGAGGAGCGCCCUAGGGUAAAACUGGUGACUGGGGCU